Molecule: ribosomal RNA, 422 nt
Filed under: uncultured bacterium
Lineage: Bacteria
Description: bacterial SSU rRNA
Rfam family: Bacterial small subunit ribosomal RNA
Source: RNAcentral
UGAGGAAUAUUGGACAAUGGGCGCAAGCCUGAUCCAGCCAUGCCGCGUGCAGGAAGAAGCAUCUAUGGUGUGUAAACUGCUUUUGUACGGGAAGAAACACUCCUACGUGUAGGAGCUUGACGGUACCGUAAGAAUAAGGAUCGGCUAACUCCGUGCCAGCAGCCGCGGUAAUACGGAGGAUCCAAGCGUUAUCCGGAAUCAUUGGGUUUAAAGGGUCCGUAGGCGGUUUAAUAAGUCAGUGGUGAAAGCCCAUCGCUCAACGAUGGAACGGCCAUUGAUACUGCUAGACUUGAAUUACAAGGAAGUAACUAGAAUAUGUAGUGUAGCGGUGAAAUGCUUGGAUAUUACAUGGAAUACCAAUUGCGAAGGCAGGUUACUACUUGUGGAUUGACGCUGAUGGACGAAAGCGUGGGGAGCGAACA